RNAcentral lists this long non-coding RNA (1178 nucleotides) under Daucus carota (carrot). RNAcentral describes it as "long non-coding RNA (DCAR_LNC006390)". The record is from RNAcentral. Lineage: Eukaryota; Viridiplantae; Streptophyta; Magnoliopsida; Apiales; Apiaceae.
UUAGCCACCGCGAACCAGGAUAAAAUCGCUCGUGUGAUAUUUUCCUUUUCUUUUCUUACACUUCCGAACGUAACUGCCAAUACUCUCGAUACAAGUUCUAAAGAAGGGGUGAAAACUUUUUAAAACGACAUAAAUAUUUUUAAUUGGUGAUUAACCCCCCCCCCCCUUCUAGCUUAAUUAUCCCUAUAUACGGACCUAACAAAUUUAAAACUAUAAAACAGUUUUUAAAUACGAAAAAUAUAAAACAGAACAAUCUUGUGCCUGGAAAACAGAAAACAUAAAUUAAAACCGAACAAUUACCUGAAAACUAAAAGCAAACGUUUUAACGUUCAACCCAACAUAUUUCAUACUCCCUCCGUCCCUCUGAAAUGUAUACGUAUGGAUUGGACACGCAGACUAAGAAAAAUAUAUAAAGUAAUGUAAAGUAAGGAGAAAGAGAAAGAAAAGUGGGUAAAGUAGUGGGACCCAUCAAUAUAUAAUAGAUAGAUUUGAAAAGAUAGUUGAAAGUAGUGGGUGGGUGGGGUUUUUAUAUUAUAAAAUCUUACUAUUUUGGGAAAGUUUUGAAAUGUACAGAAUUGAGUGGGACAUCCAAAAAAGGAAAGUGUAUAGAAUUAAAUGGGACGGAGAGAGUAUAUGCAUUAACAUGGGAAUGUUGUUGACAAGCUAAAACCAAUAUUAAUUGUUGCUUACAAUUAGCUUCUAGCUAGCUUAGCUUUGUAGUUUAUGGUAGUAAUAAUCAGACUAGCUAUGUAUAUGCAGCAGAGAACAUCAUGAUUUCUCAAUGGUGAGAAAUCCCCGUUGCUCCAGUUCACACAGCAUCAGAAGACAACUAGAGUCUAAAGAACAUUUCUUGUCUGGCCGUGCUUGUCCAUUGACUACAACAGUACAGCGGUCUGGAAUGGUCAAGGUAAUUUCCGACACAAAACUACUAAAUCCUUGCCUUUUUUCUAAACCGUCUGUGAAUUCAAUGGGAGAUCUGCGAUGGAAGUGGCCACAUAGUCAAGACAGCCAUAUAAUUUUAAGGCACAAAAGUAUAAACUGUAAAAGUAGAAAAAUAUUUUGGUGUUACUAACAAUUACUAACCUUGACUUUUCCUCGCUGUCUCAAAUUUAGGCAACGGCCACUGUGCUCUCCUGCACACAUCAUACAGAGAGAUUCACGGCCCACCUUUAUUCCGG